UACGUAGGGUGCGAGCGUUGUCCGGAAUUAUUGGGCGUAAAGAGCUCGUAGGCGGUCUGUCGCGUCGAUCGUGAAAACUUGGGGCUUAACCCUGAGCUUGCGGUCGAUACGUGCAUGACUGGAGUUCGGCAGGGGAGACUGGAAUUCCUGGUGUAGCGGUGAAAUGCGCAGAUAUCAGGAGGAACACCGGUGGCGAAGGCGGGUCUCUGGGACGUUACUGACGCUGAGACGCGAAAGCGUGGGGAGCAAACAGG
Molecule: ribosomal RNA, 254 nt
Filed under: uncultured bacterium
Lineage: Bacteria
Description: partial 16S ribosomal RNA
Rfam family: Bacterial small subunit ribosomal RNA
Source: RNAcentral